AGUGAACGCUGGCGGCAGGCCUAAUACAUGCAAGUCGAACGGCAGCACAGCAGAGCUUGCUCUGUGGGUGGCGAGUGGCGGACGGGUGAGGAAUACAUGGGAAUCUGCCCAGUCGUGGGGGAUAACGUAUGGAAACGUACGCUAAUACCGCAUGCGCCCUACGGGGGAAAGUCGGGGACCGCAAGGCCUGGCGCGAUUGGAUGAGCCCAUGUUCGAUUAGCUAGUUGGCGGGGUAAAGGCCCACCAAGGCGACGAUCGAUAGCUGGUCUGAGAGGAUGAUCAGCCACACUGGAACUGAGACACGGUCCAGACUCCUACGGGAGGCAGCAGUAGGGAAUAUUGGACAAUGGGGGCAACCCUGAUCCAGCCAUGCCGCGUGAGUGAAGAAGGCCCUCGGGUUGUAAAGCUCUUUUGCUCGGGAACAAUAUUUUGAGCGUACCGAGAGAAUAAGAGGUUGCUAACUCUGUGCCAGCAGC
Molecule: ribosomal RNA, 476 nt
Filed under: uncultured bacterium
Lineage: Bacteria
Description: bacterial SSU rRNA
Rfam family: Bacterial small subunit ribosomal RNA
Source: RNAcentral